This 422-nucleotide ribosomal RNA is filed under the name Magnusiomyces ingens. RNAcentral describes it as "eukaryotic LSU rRNA". It matches the Rfam family "Eukaryotic large subunit ribosomal RNA", at positions 49 to 495 of the family's 3401-position model. The record is from RNAcentral. Lineage: Eukaryota; Fungi; Ascomycota; Dipodascomycetes; Dipodascales; Dipodascaceae.
AGCGGAGGAAAAGAAACCAACAGGGAUUGCCUUAGUAACGGCGAGUGAAGCGGCAAAAGCUCAAUUUGAAAUCGCGUAAGCGAAUUGUAAUUGAAGUGGUUAGACUAUGAUGUUAAGUCUCUUGGAACAGAGCGCCAAAGAGGGUGAUAGCCCCGUAAUCUUUGUCUAAUGUGCUACUUCAGAGCGAGUCGAGUUGUUUGGGAAUGCAGCUCUAACAGGUGGUAAACUCCAUCUAAGGCUAAAUAUUGCUGGGAGACCGAUAGCGAACAAGUACAGUGAUGGAAAGAUGAAAAGCACUUUGAAAAGAGAGUGAAAUAGCAUGUGAAAUUGUUGGAGGGGAAGGCAAUGAUAGGAAUAAGAGGCUGCGGUUUGAAGUAAAUAUUCUUUGGGCCACGGUCUCCUGGGCCUAUUUUUGCACCCGU